UGGGGAAUAUUGCGCAAUGGGCGAAAGCCUGACGCAGCAACGCCGCGUGAGUGAUGAAGGCCUUCGGGUCGUAAAGCUCUGUCGGAGGGAACGAAUGCUCUUGAGGUUAACAGCCUCGGGAGGUGACGGUACCCUCAAAGGAAGCACCGACUAACUCUGUGCCAGCAGCCGCGGUAAUACAGAGGGUGCAAGCGUUGUUCGGAAUCAUUGGGCGUAAAGGGCGUGUAGGCGGUAUGUUAAGUCAUGUGUGAAAUCCCUCGGCUCAACCGGGGAACGACGCAUGAAACUAGCAAGCUAGAGUACCAAAGAGGGUGGUGGAAUUCCACGUGUAGCAGUGAAAUGCGUAGAUAUGUGGAGGAAUACCGAUGGCGAAGGCAGCCCCCUGGGUCAAUACUGACGCUCAUGCACGAAAGCGUGGGGAGCAAACAGGAUUAGAUACCCACGUAGUCCCUGAGCGGGCUGGCAAGGCGCAU
This 473-nucleotide ribosomal RNA is filed under the name uncultured bacterium. RNAcentral describes it as "bacterial SSU rRNA". It matches the Rfam family "Bacterial small subunit ribosomal RNA", at positions 355 to 825 of the family's 1533-position model. The record is from RNAcentral.